AUUGAACGCUGGCGGAAUGCUUUACACAUGCAAGUCGAACGGUAGAGGGGGCAACCCCUCGAGAGUGGCGAACGGGUGAGUAAUAUAUCGGAACGUGCCCAGUCGUGGGGGAUAACGUAGCGAAAGUUACGCUAAUACCGCAUACGAUCUAAGGAUGAAAGCGGGGGAUCGCAAGACCUCGCGCGAUUGGAGCGGCCGAUAUCAGAUUAGGUAGUUGGUGGGGUAAAGGCUCACCAAGCCAACGAUGUGUAGCUGGUCUGAGAGGACGACCAGCCACACUGGAACUGAGACACGGUCCAGACUCCUACGGGAGGCAGCAGCGGGGAAUUUUGGACAAUGGACGCAAGUCUGAUCCAGCCAUUCCGCGUGCAGGAUGAAGGCCCUCGGGUUGUAAACUGCUUUUGUACGGAACGAAAAGGUCUCUCUUAAUACGGGGGACUCAUGACGGUACCGUAAGAAUAAGCACCGGCUAACUACGUGCCAGCAGCCGCGGUAA
Molecule: ribosomal RNA, 496 nt
Filed under: uncultured bacterium
Lineage: Bacteria
Description: partial 16S ribosomal RNA
Rfam family: Bacterial small subunit ribosomal RNA
Source: RNAcentral